RNAcentral lists this ribosomal RNA (433 nucleotides) under uncultured bacterium. RNAcentral describes it as "partial 16S ribosomal RNA". It matches the Rfam family "Bacterial small subunit ribosomal RNA", at positions 29 to 507 of the family's 1533-position model. The record is from RNAcentral.
AACGAACGCUGGCGGCAGGCCUAACACAUGCAAGUCGAGCGAGGACUUCGGUUCUAGCGGCGGAUGGGUGAGUAACGCGUGGGAAUGUGCCCUUCUCUACGGAAUAGCCCUGGGAAACUGGGAGUAAUACCGUAUACGCCCUUUUGGGGAAAGAUUUAUCGGAGAAGGAUCAGCCCGCGUUGGAUUAGGUAGUUGGUGGGGUAAUGGCCUACCAAGCCGACGAUCCAUAGCUGGUUUGAGAGGAUGAUCAGCCACACUGGGACUGAGACACGGCCCAGACUCCUACGGGAGGCAGCAGUGGGGAAUCUUAGACAAUGGGGGCAACCCUGAUCUAGCCAUGCCGCGUGAGUGAUGAAGGCCUUAGGGUUGUAAAGCUCUUUCAGCUGGGAAGAUAAUGACGGUACCAGCAGAAGAAGCCCCGGCUAACUCCGUG